CUGGAGUCCAGAGUGUGCUCUUCUCUAUCUUCCUCUGGGCCGUUUUGCUGUUCGUGACAUGAGACAGACCGUUGCCUUGGGUGUCAUCAAAGAAGGCAAGAAGGCAGCUGGAGCUGGCAAGGUCACCAAAUCUGCCCAGAAAUCUCAGAAGACUAAAAGAAUAUUAUCCCCAGUACCUGCCACGCCAGCCUUAAUCAGUGGUGGAAGAGCGGUGUCACAACUGUUUGUGUCAACUGGCCAUUUAAGUUUAAUAGUAGAAGACUGAUUAAUGAUAAUAAUGCAUCAUAAAACCUUCAGAAGAAAAGGGAAAUGUUUUGUGGACCAUUUGUGUGUGUGUGUGCGUGUGUGUGUGUG
Lynx canadensis (Canada lynx) is the source of this 354-nucleotide long non-coding RNA. RefSeq lists it as uncharacterized. The record is from RefSeq and is a predicted model, not a curated record. The transcript is spliced from 3 exons. NCBI's taxonomy places the organism in Eukaryota, Metazoa, Chordata, Mammalia, Carnivora, Felidae.